GAUGAAGAACGAAGCGAAAUGCGAUAAGUAAUGUGAAUUGCAGAAUUCAGUGAAUCAUCGAAUCUUUGAACGCACAUUGCGCCCGCCAGUAUUCUGGCGGGCAUGCCUGUUCGAGCGUCAUUUCAACCAUCAAGCCCUGCUUGCGUUGGGGUCCUGCGGCUGCCCGCAGGCCCUGAAAACCAGUGGCGGGCUCGCUAGUCACACCGAGCGCAGUAAUACAUCUCGCUUUGGGCGUGCGGCGGGUUCUUGCCGUUAAACACCCCCUUUUUACCAAGGUUGACCUCGGAUCAGGUAGGAAUACCCGCUGAACUUAAGCAUAUCAAUAAGCGGAGGA
Molecule: unclassified non-coding RNA, 334 nt
Filed under: soil metagenome
Description: partial contains 5.8S ribosomal RNA, internal transcribed spacer 2, and large subunit ribosomal RNA
Rfam family: 5.8S ribosomal RNA (bases 1-120)
Source: RNAcentral